GUCGAACGGGAUAGAACUUAGCAAUAGGUUCUUGAGAGUGGCGCACGGGUGCGUAACACGUAUGCAACCUACCUUUAACUGGGGGAUAGCCUCUCGAAAGAGAGAUUAAUACCCCAUAGUAUAAUUAGAGAGCAUUUUCUGAUUAUUAAAGAUUUAUCGGUUAAAGAUGGGCAUGCGGCUGAUUAGGUAGUUGGUGAGGUAAUGGCUCACCAAGCCAACGAUCAGUAGGGGGUCUGAGAGGAUGUCCCCCCACACUGGUACUGAGACACGGACCAGACUCCUACGGGAGGCAGCAGUAGGGAAUAUUGGACAAUGGGGGCAACCCUGAUCCAGCCAUUCCGCGUGCAGGAAUAAGGCCCUAUGGGUCGUAAACUGCUUUUGUAUGGGAAAAAUCAUCUUACGUGUAGGGUGUUGAUGGUACCAUGAGAAUAAGGAUCGGCUAACUUCGUGCCAGCAGCCGCGGUAAUACGAAGGAUCCAAGCGUUGUCCGGAUUUACUGGGUUUAAAGGGUGCGUAGGCGGGGAAUUAAGUCAGUGGUGAAAGCUGGUAGCUCAACUAUCAAAUUGCCAUUGAAACUGAUUCUCUCGAGUACGGUUGAGGUAGCUGGAAUGUAACAUGUAGCGGUGAAAUGCUUAGAUAUGUUACAGAACACCGAUUGCGAAGGCAGGCUACUAAACCGUAACUGACGCUGAGGCACGAAAGCGUGGGGAUCAAACAGGAUUAGAUACCCUGGUAGUCCACGCUGUAAAC
RNAcentral lists this ribosomal RNA (750 nucleotides) under uncultured bacterium. RNAcentral describes it as "bacterial SSU rRNA". It matches the Rfam family "Bacterial small subunit ribosomal RNA", at positions 61 to 807 of the family's 1533-position model. The record is from RNAcentral.